GCUAAGCCUGGGCCGGCGGGGCGGGGAAUACAGGGGGGGCAAGCGUUGGUCGGAAUUACGGGGCGUAAAGGGCGCGUAGGGGGUGCUCUAAGUCCCGUGUGAAAUCCCCCGGCUCAACUGGGGAAUGGCACGGGAAACUGGAGUGCUUGAGUUCGGGAGAGGGAAGCGGAAUUCCGGGUGUAGCGGUGAAAUGCGUAGAUAUCCGGAGGAACACCGGUGGCGAAGGCGGCUUCCUGGACCGACACUGACGCUGAGGCGCGAAAGCUAGGGGAGCAAACGGGAUUAGAUACCCGAGUAGUC
RNAcentral lists this ribosomal RNA (300 nucleotides) under uncultured Slackia sp. RNAcentral's name for it is "bacterial SSU rRNA". It matches the Rfam family "Bacterial small subunit ribosomal RNA", at positions 496 to 795 of the family's 1533-position model. Lineage: Bacteria; Bacillati; Actinomycetota; Coriobacteriia; Eggerthellales; Eggerthellaceae. The record is from RNAcentral.